AUGUCUCCCUCAAAAGGUGUUAUGUUCUAUGGACCUCCGGGCUGCGGUAAGACCUUGUUGGCCAAGGCAAUUGCUAACGAGUGCCAGGCUAACUUUAUUAGCAUCAAAGGACCGGAGCUGCUUCCCAUGUGGUUUGGUGAGAGUGAGGCCAAUGUGCGUGAGAUUUUCGACAAGGCUAGGGGGUCAGCGCCAUGUGUCCUCUUCUUUGAUGAGCUUGACUCAGUUGCCACUCAGAGAGGGAACAGUGUUGGUGAUGCCGGAGGUGCCGCUGAUAGAGUGCUGAAUCAGCUUCUUACCGAGAUGGACGGAAUGAAUGCAAAGAAAAUUGUGUUCAUCAUCGGUGCUACCAACAGGCCAGACAUCAUAGACCCUGCCUUGCUUAGGCCUGGACGCCUUGAUCAACUUAUCUACAUUCCUCUGCCUGAUGUUGAAUCCAGGCACCAGAUCUUUAGAGCCUGUCUCAGGAAGUCUCCUGUGGCCAAAGAUGUUGACUUGAAUGCUCUCGCCAAAUACACACAGGGGUUCAGCGGUGCAGAUAUCACUGAAAUCUGCCAGCGUGCAUGCAAAUAUGCCAUCAGAGAAAACAUUGAGAAGGACAUGGAAAAGGAGAGGCGACAGAAGGAAAACCCUGAAGCCAUGGAGGAAGACGAAGUGGACGAGGUCGCUGAGAUCAAGGCUGCUCACUUCGAGGAGAGCAUGAGGUAUGCACGCCGGAGUGUUAGUGAUGCUGAUAUUCGCAAAUACCAGGCCUUUGCUCAGACACUGCAGCAGUCCCGUGGUUUCGGUAGCGAGUUCUGA
RNAcentral lists this ribosomal RNA (798 nucleotides) under Triticum aestivum (bread wheat). RNAcentral describes it as "partial small subunit ribosomal RNA". The record is from RNAcentral. Lineage: Eukaryota; Viridiplantae; Streptophyta; Magnoliopsida; Poales; Poaceae.